Molecule: ribosomal RNA, 428 nt
Filed under: uncultured bacterium
Lineage: Bacteria
Description: bacterial SSU rRNA
Rfam family: Bacterial small subunit ribosomal RNA
Source: RNAcentral
GUGGGGAAUAUUGGGCAAUGGGCGAAAGCCUGACCCAGCGACGCCGCGUGAAGGAUGAAGGUCUUCGGAUUGUAAACUUCUUUGAUCAGGGAAGAAAGAAAUGACGGUACCUGAAAAACAAGCCACGGCUAACUACGUGCCAGCAGCCGCGGUAAUACGUAGGUGGCAAGCGUUGUCCGGAUUUACUGGGUGUAAAGGGCGUGUAGGCGGGGAUGCAAGUCAGAUGUGAAAUCCCGCGGCUCAACCGCGGAACUGCAUCUGAAACUGCGUCUCUUGAGUGUCGGAAGGGAAAGUGGAAUUCCUAGUGUAGCGGUGAAAUGCGUAGAUAUUAGGAGGAACACCGGUGGCGAAGGCGACUUUCUGGACGAUAACUGACGCUGAGACGCGAAAGCGUGGGGAGCAAACAGGAUUAGAAACCCCUGUAGUCC